CCACUGCCAUGUGUAUCAGUAGAACUUCAGCUUUCUUUCACUUCAACAUGUAAGAAAACCGUGACCUCUGGGCCUUAAUGGAGUUGCUUCAGAAUACAAAAGUCGUGAUUCGAGUCAUGCUAAUUAUUUUGAUCUUACACGGUUCCUCAGCCUACAGCCCACAGGAGCUCAGUGUCUUGGUGGGAACAGACGUGACUCUCGGCUGCGUCUUUGAUAAACUAUCCAAGCAGGUGGAGUGGAGCGCCCUAACCGUUGAGUGGAACGUGGUGGAUAAACAUGGAGGGAAGAGAACUGUGUACACGUUUGUGGACGGUGUAGCACACAUAAACAGAGACGGCUCAGAGGUGGAUGAAGAGCGGUUGCUGCGUAGUGAUGCAUCUCUGAAGCUUUGUAAUGUGACUGUGGGGGAUGAAGGCCUUUACACAUGUCGGAUCAUCCAACCUGUUGUCUACACAGAGACCAUUUCUGUGGAAGUGCUGGCUCAGCCUUCAGUGUUGCUACCAGAGACGGCAGCAGUGUCAGAGGGGCAGGAGAAGACGAUACAGUGUAACAUCACAGGUUACUAUCCAGACAAGCUGGAUGUGACGUGGCACAUCCAAAAUGGCUCCAACACCAUCCUCGCUGGUGUGAACCAACUCUUCAGUGUCUGCACAAAUAUGGCCAUUCACAAUCCAGAUGGCACUUUUAGCAUACGCAGCGGGAUCACGGUGCACUCUGCAGCAGUGAAGGGUGGAGAAAUACACCUCAUCUGCAGGGUGGAGCAUCAGACCUUCAGCGAGGCGUACAUCAGAUCUGUAACAGUCACUGUUCAAGCUCAGUCGUUACCCUCCUCUGUUGUUGGUGUGCUCAUCGGCCUCGGAAGUUUCAUGAUCUUUGGGAUAAUCGUCACUCUUAUUGGAGUCUGUCUGAUGAUCGUCAGGCAUCUCUCCAAAGAUCCGCCGAGCGUUUCUCAAAUCACACCCAACAUCAUCUAUGCAGAGGUCCCGACACAGCUUCAGUGCACCAUCCGAGGAGAGAAAAAACAGGGUCUCAAAGUGAAAUGGUUUCAGUUGAGAAGUAUUACAGAGUCAGAUGUCCUAUCAGAAUCUGCUCCUCUGCUGGUCUCUGAUGACCUGAGCCACAGAGCUUCUCUGAAGUCAGACGGCCAAAAUCACAUAUCUGUCCUGCCUGUUUGUCUGAGUGUGACUGAGGAUAAGACCACAUACCAGUGUGAGGUCCAAUGCAGAGACAAGACCAUCAGGAGAGAGACCACAGUCGAGGUGAAAGUCGAGCCAUCUCUCCUCCAGAUCUCCAGCAUCCCUCAGAUCCCAAGGGUGGAGAAACAGCUGGUCCUCUGCUGUCGGGUGGAGAACUUCUAUCCCCCAGAUGUGGAUCUGGUGUGGUCUAGGGACGACAGUGAGAAGGUCAGCCACAUCACACACUUUGGACCUUUCUCCUCCCAAAACCACCUGUACAGCGUGUGGAGUAAGAUCGAGCUGCUGAUGGCCAGAGAGGACGAGAGAGUGGUCUACACCUGCAGAGUUUACCACACCAGCUUCGCUGAACAAGGCUACAAAGAUGUCACAUACCACAUCAACACUAGAGGAACUGCUCCUGAGCCAAAGUUCAUCGAGUGUGACCCACAGGUGCCUCUGUUAAAUAAAGAAUGCACUCUGCACCUCUGCGUCGAAGGCUUCUGUCCAGAGGACCUGACUGUGACCUGGACUAAAAACGGACAGGAGGUCAUCUCAGGUGUCUUCAACACUCCCCCUAGCCUGAACAUUAGCGGCCUCUACUCCAUGUUCACUUUUCUCAAAUUCACCCCCACUGAGGACGACAAAGAAGCCGACUUCAGGUGUAAGGUGGUCCACAGUGCCCAGAAGGAACCUGGAGAGGAAAGGAUCUUCAUGCUGCCGAUCCUGCAGGUGCCAAAUGGUUGCUGAGAGAACUGUUCUGUGUUAAUGCAGCAGUUUCUUUGUGUUAUGACAAACAUGAACAGUUAACUAAUGUCAUUUCUCAGUCUCUUUAACCAGCAGAGAAGUGAAGUAUUGACUAAAAAACUGACAGUGUUAUUUACUCUUUUUAAAACUUUGUUUUCUGUCUUUUUUUACAUCGUUUAGAAUUUAGAUAUGUUUGUGAAGAGUUCUGAUCAAAGUGAAACUGAGUGAAAACAACACACUUUGUGUUUUAUGCUCAGUUUUUUUGUUCCGAUGGAAUUGUUGAUUACGGGGCUUUCUAAGCUGCUGCAGAAGAUCACAGAUUUAAGAGAUGUUUUCAGCCUGAUGUUCAGAGUUGAGCUGUCUAUAACUGUUAGUAUUCAGCAAAAAUAGAACUAACCAAAACAUACAUUAAUCCAAAUAAAUUCAUACCAUCCUCACAUGCUGUAAUUUUUUUCUGUUUUCUUAUUGACAGACAGACAUUGACUGACUAUACUUGUCUGUCAAUAAGAAAACACAGAUAAAAUAUACAAUACAGCCAAGCAUGAGCUUCAG
This is a non-coding RNA of Cheilinus undulatus (humphead wrasse), 2471 nucleotides long. The record is from the annotation of a RefSeq genome assembly. Lineage: Eukaryota; Metazoa; Chordata; Actinopteri; Labriformes; Labridae.